This 450-nucleotide ribosomal RNA is filed under the name uncultured organism. Its description in RNAcentral is "partial 16S ribosomal RNA". It matches the Rfam family "Bacterial small subunit ribosomal RNA", at positions 331 to 797 of the family's 1533-position model. The record is from RNAcentral.
GUACACUCCUACGGGAGGCAGCAGUGGGGAAUAUUGGACAAUGGGCGCAAGCCUGAUCCAGCCAUGCCGCGUGAGUGAUGAAGGCCCUAGGGUUGUAAAGCUCUUUCACCGGUGAAGACAAUGACGGUAACCGGAGAAGAAGCCCCGGCUAACUUCGUGCCAGCAGCCGCGGUAAUACGAAGGGGGCUAGCGUUGUUCGGAUUUACUGGGCGUAAAGCGCACGUAGGCGGACUAUUAAGUCAGGGGUGAAAUCCCGGGGCUCAACCCCGGAACUGCCUUUGAUACUGGUAGUCUUGAGUUCGAGAGAGGUGAGUGGAAUUCCGAGUGUAGAGGUGAAAUUCGUAGAUAUUCGGAGGAACACCAGUGGCGAAGGCGGCUCACUGGCUCGAUACUGACGCUGAGGUGCGAAAGCGUGGGGAGCAAACAGGAUUAGAAACCCUUGUAGUCCCA